GGGGCUGUCGCUCAGUGGCAGAGCGUUUGCCUACCAUGCAUGAGGCACUGGGUUUGAUCCUCAGCACCA
This is a non-coding RNA of Ictidomys tridecemlineatus (thirteen-lined ground squirrel), 69 nucleotides long. Lineage: Eukaryota; Metazoa; Chordata; Mammalia; Rodentia; Sciuridae. The record is from Rfam.